CACCAGAUAAAGGAGCUAGUAGAGGGACCUAAAGAGGGGACAAUAAUGGACGAACUGGAUGAUGUCAUAGCAUCAAUUUUAAAUGCUGCCAAUGUUGACGAGGCCUUGCUUCACACCCUCAGUCGUGAUGAUUUGUGAGAUCUUUUUCCUGGGCCGGAACACUUUCUCAGGAGGAAACGAGUUUGGGCUCUUAUUAACCCAGAGGAUGGGAAUGCCACCUUAACAGACAAAUCUGGCCCUGGUGAAGCAGGAACAGUGUCUUCACCUAGAGGAGUGCCUCCAAUCUUGCCCCAGACAUCUUCUCCUUUGGUGAUGAAAAAUCCAAGGAAGACCCUGCAGCUUCCCAGUCCUCCAGAAUAUGUGGUUUAUACAGAUAGUGAGUUAGAGCAAGCUCGCGAGCACUACUUUGAGAUGGCCCGCACUGGCAGAGAAAGGGACUGUGUCAUGUCUAAAGAGCUGAGAUGCAGACUGGUGAGGAACACUGUCACCAGCAUGAUUUCCAUCUUGGGAGCCAGUGAGCAAGGAGAGGAGCUGCGGUACCCUUCUAAGCAUGAAGUCACUUCAAUGGCUAGGAGACUUGUGGAAUAUUAUCCCAUGCUACAGGAUAAAGAUACAACUAUG
Molecule: long non-coding RNA, 621 nt
Organism: Etheostoma cragini (Arkansas darter)
Lineage: Eukaryota; Metazoa; Chordata; Actinopteri; Perciformes; Percidae
Exons: 3
Source: RefSeq, a predicted model, not a curated record